Molecule: ribosomal RNA, 224 nt
Filed under: uncultured bacterium
Lineage: Bacteria
Description: partial 16S ribosomal RNA
Rfam family: Bacterial small subunit ribosomal RNA
Source: RNAcentral
UACGUAGGGUGCAAGCGUUGUCCGGAAUUAUUGGGCGUAAAGAGCUCGUAGGCGGUUUGUUGCGUCGGCUGUGAAAUCCCGAGGCUCAACCUCGGGUCUGCAGUCGAUACGAGCAAACUAGAGUGUUGCAGGGGAGACUGGAAUUCCUGGUGUAGCGGUGAAAUGCGCAGAUAUCAGGAGGAACACCGGUGGCGAAGGCGGGGUCUCUGGGGCAACAACUGACG